UGUGGGAGCGAGCCUGCUCGCGAUAGCGGUAUGUCGGUCAACUUUACAUUGACUGCUCCACCGCUAUCGCGAGCAGGCUCGCUCCCACA
Molecule: unclassified non-coding RNA, 89 nt
Filed under: Pseudomonas sp. A214
Lineage: Bacteria; Pseudomonadati; Pseudomonadota; Gammaproteobacteria; Pseudomonadales; Pseudomonadaceae
Source: RNAcentral